AGUUCUCUGGACUAUGUUUAAAAACAACUUUAAUCACAUACACUAUUGACACUAUGUAUAAAGUAGAUGUCUACUGAGAACAUACCUCACAAAGCUGUACAACACCCAGUAUUAUUUCCGGGGCACGCUGUGUAGAGGUUUCAAGCCAAAAGCAGUUUCUUCUGUUUAUUGCUUUAAGUAUCUUUCUAAAAGUUAGGAGACGAAAGUAGAGAGAGGGAAAGUUUCUAUUUAGAUUGUCUCCACUUAGAAAGUCUCCAAUGGACCAAACUAAGAAAAAGAUGACCCUUGAACAACACGAAUUUGAACUGUGCAGGUCCAGUUAAACUUGGAUUUUUUUUCCAGUGGUAAACAUUUCAGUACUACACCAUCUGUGGCUGAUUGAAUCUGCUGACACAGAGGAGCCAUAGCUGAGGAAUCGAGUAUAUGGAGGGCCCACUUGUCACUAGUGGUAAAGAACCCACCUGCCGAUACUGGAGACAUGAGACGUGGGUUUGAUCCCUGGGUCAGGAAGAUCCCCUGGAGAAGAGCAUGGCAACCCACUCUAGUAUUCUUGCCUGGAGAAUCCCAUGGACAGAGGAGCCUGGCAGGCUACAGUCCAUAGCGUCACAAAGAGCUGGACAUGACGGAAGAGAUCUAGCAUGUGCGCAAUAUAAAUUAUGGCUGAAAUUUUAGACUGGGUCAAGGGUCAAAACCACUAACCCCAGCCUUGCUCCAGGGUUAACUGUACAUGUUGUCUGCUCCUCUUGUUUUCGUUUUUGUUUUUUUCCUUUUUUCCUGGCACCCUUAGAAAGAGGAAUGUGAGAGAGAUGACAGGGCUUUUAAUUCUUGUCCAAAGAAUUCCAGGGUAUUUCAGUUGUAAUAUUUGUUCUCUUUCACCAAACUUAAAGUAGCCUGGGAGUGAGUGUCUGAAAGCAUCUGAUAAAAUGACAUGCACAGAGCUGAUGCGAUCGACCUUGUGCAUAUCUUCCCCCUCCUCUAAGAGCGCACAGAAGCAGUUGCUAAUCCUGGACUUAAUGUAAGAGCCUUUAGGAUGGGGUACUGCAAAACUCUCUCCAACCAAUUCAUAAGUGCACUUGGAUUCCUGAAGACUGCCAAGGCCUAAAAAGUCCUUGAUUUGUGAGUUUGGGCAGGGACUGUUGGCUGUCACCCAAUGCUUCUUCUGUAGCAAUAAACUUUACACACCCUAGUUUCUAGCUAAGCAUUUGUGUGCUCGCAAUAAACAAUAUUAUUGUCAGCUUCUCUUGAGUCCAGUUGUGAAUAUGUGACUAAGAUUUAGACAAUGGGGUGUAAAUGGCAGUGUCAAUUGUGUUGGGAACCUACCUUAAGGAUCAGAUGAUAGGCAUCCUUUUCCUCAUUUUUGGGGGGGUGGGUUGUUUGUUUGUUUUUGUCCCUUCCUCUAUCUUGCUGCCUAGAACACAGAUGCGAAGGCUGGAGUUCAACCCAUUAUACUGGAUCACAAGGACGAAAGUCCCUAGGGACUGCAGAAAGGAGGACUACAAAGAACUUGGUCCCCUAGGACCUCAUGAGGCAGAAUUGCUGCUCUGCCUUCCAGCAGUCAUUUGUGAGAGAGAGAAAUCAACUCACAGAGUACAUCAUGAGAAAUGCUGGGCUGGAUGAAGCACAAGCUGGAAUCAAGAUUUCCAGGAGAAAUAUCAAUAACCUCAGAUAUGCAGAUGACACCACCCUUAUGGCAGAAAGUGAAGAGGAACUAAAGAGCCUCUUGAUGAAAGUGAAAGAGGAGACUUAAAAAGUUGACUUAAAGCUCAACAUUCAGAAAACGAAGAUCAUGGCAUCCAGUCCCAUCACUUCAUGGGAAAUAGAUGGGGAAACAGUGAAAACAGUGUCAGUCUUUAUUUUUUGGGCUCCAAAAUCACUGCAGAUGGUAAUUGCAGCCAUGAAAUGAAAAGACGCUUACUCCUUGGAAGGAAAGUUAUGACCCAACCUAGAUAGCAUAUUCAAAAGCAGAGACAUUACUUUGUCAACAAAGGUCUGUCUAGUUAAGGCUAUAGUUUUUCCAGUAGUCAUGUAUGGAUGUGAAAGUUGGACUAUAAAGAAAGCUGAGCACUGAAGAAUUGAUGCUUUUGAACUGUGGUGUUGGAGAAAACUCUUGAGAGUCCCUUGGACUGCAAGGAGAUCCAACCAGUCCAUCCUAAAGCAGAUCAGUCCUGGGUGUUCAUUGGAAGGACUGAUGUUGAAGCUGAAACUCUAAUACUUUGGCCACCUAUGGUAAGAGCUGACUCAUUUGAAAAGACUCUGAUGCUGGGAAAGAUUGAGGGCAGGAGGAGAAGGGGAUGACAGAGGAUGAGAUAGUUGGAUGGCAUCACUGACUCAAUGGACAUGGGUUUGGGUAGACUUCGGCAGUUGGUGAUGGACAGGGAGGCCUGGUGUGCUGCAGUUCAUGGGGUCACAGAGAGUUGAACAUGACUGAGUGACUGAACUGAACUGUUUGUUGUUCUAGUUGAAACCUAGACCAGUGCCUGGUACAUAGGAGAUGCUUAAUAUACCAGAUGAUCCUUAAACAAUGUAGGGGUUAGAGGUGCUGACUGCCUGUGCAGCUAAAAUCCAUGUAUAACUUUUGCCUCCUCCAAAAUUUAGCAAUUAAUUGCCUACAGUUACCAGGAAGCCCUACCUGUUACAUAAACAGUCAAUUAACACAUAUGUAGUAUAUUAUAUGUAUUAUAUUCUGCCUUCUUAUAGUAAGAAGAUGGCAUCACUGACUCGAUGGACAUGAGUUUGAGUAAGCUCUGGGAGUUGGUGAUAGACAGGGAAGCCUGGUGUGCUGCAGUCCAUGGGCUCGCAAAUAAUCAGACAUGACUGAG
Bos taurus (domestic cattle) is the source of this 2819-nucleotide long non-coding RNA. NCBI's taxonomy places the organism in Eukaryota, Metazoa, Chordata, Mammalia, Artiodactyla, Bovidae. The record is from Ensembl.